UGGGACGACGAGGACGAGGUGGACAUCUACGCCCUGAGGCGCACAGCCUUCAUGUGCCCCAUGUACGACCAGGAGGAGAGCAGCGGCAGGGGCAACAAGAGGGUGGCAGUGGAGGCCCUGGACAACAUUCCUUUCAGAAGGAAGAUCACCUUGUGUUAUUUCAUGGGGGGGCGCAGGGUCAUGCUGCCAAAAGACUACUAACCCCACCCCCCUCAAUUUACACAACACCCCCCCUUAGUCCCAGACAGAGAAGAACAGGACACACACAGAGAGACAGAGUGGACACCAACAGGGCCAUCAGAGGGACAGAGAUCCUCUCAGUUGAUGUUAGGAAUGUCAGCUACGAAAAGCUUCAAUAGACCAUCUCUGUAGCAAGAGAACCUCCAGUAAUCAGACUGGGCUGUCCUCUGUCUCCCCUCAUCUCUGAUACAUCAGACUGGGCUGUCCUCUGUCUCCCCUCAUCUCUGAUACAUCAGACUGGGCUGUUCUCUGUCUCCCCUCAUCUCUGAUACACCAGACUGGGCUGUCCUCUGUCUCCCCUCACCUGUACUCCCCCAAGAGGAACACUGCUCCCUGCCUCCGCUCCCCUUCUCCUCUACUCCCCCAAGAGGACUACAGUCUCUCUCUUAUCUCUAAAUCAGUGUUGGGGUCAAUUCAAUGUCAAUACUGUCAAUUCAGGAAGUAAACUGACAUUUUCUCAUAGAGAGGCAUUGAGGAAAAUUGGAAUUGGACUUUCAGUUUACUUCCUGAAUUGUAAAGGAAUUGACCCCAACCCUAAUCUUGUCAUGCACUGACCUGAGAGAGACGGUUUAUUUCUCUAUUUUGUUAGGUCAGGGUGUGGGGUGGGCAUUCUAUGUCAUUAUAUUUCUAUGUAUUGGCCAGGUAUGUUUUCCAAUCAGAGGCAGCUGUCUAUCGUUGUCUCUGAUUGGGAACCAUACUUAGGCAGCUUUUUCCCACCUGUGUUUGUGGGUAGUUGUUUUCUGUUUUGUUAUCUGUUACCUGACAGAACUGUUGGCUUUUCGUUGUUGUUAUUUUUGUUCUAGUGUUCUCAGUAUUAAAUAAUUAUGAACACUUACCACUCUGCGCUUUGGUCCCCUUCUUCUAACGACAGCCGUUACAAAUCUAAAUAAACUACUAGAUCUCUAUGAUGACAGUGUCUCAG
RNAcentral lists this long non-coding RNA (1162 nucleotides) under Salmo salar (Atlantic salmon). Its description in RNAcentral is "lncRNA (ENSSSAG00000108262.1)". The record is from RNAcentral. Lineage: Eukaryota; Metazoa; Chordata; Actinopteri; Salmoniformes; Salmonidae.